This 242-nucleotide long non-coding RNA is filed under the name Monodelphis domestica (gray short-tailed opossum). Its description in RNAcentral is "lncRNA (ENSMODG00000046085.1)". The record is from RNAcentral. Lineage: Eukaryota; Metazoa; Chordata; Mammalia; Didelphimorphia; Didelphidae.
UACCCUUUAUUGGAUAUUCUUUCUCUUCACAGGCUCUGUGAUUCGACUAUAUCAUUCUUUGAAGGAAAAGCAAUUGCUUCCUCUUGAGAACAUUCAACUUCUUCAGCAAAGGCUUCAAGUCCAUUUUUAAAUUUGGUUGAUAGAACUCUGUAUUCUUCUUUGCUUUGUCCUCUUUAUAACAGUCUUGCACUCUCCAAUGGUCUAGCAAAGUUCUUCCUCUGGAUGUGGAUAGUGCUCUUUCU